RNAcentral lists this ribosomal RNA (253 nucleotides) under uncultured bacterium. RNAcentral describes it as "partial 16S ribosomal RNA". It matches the Rfam family "Bacterial small subunit ribosomal RNA", at positions 524 to 776 of the family's 1533-position model. The record is from RNAcentral.
UACGUAGGUGGCAAGCGUUGUUCGGAAUUAUUGGGCGUAAAGGGCGCGUAGGCGGUUUGUUAAGUCGGUCGUGAAAGCCCGGGGCUCAACCCCGGAGGGUCGACCGAUACUGGCAGACUAGAGUACAGAAGAGGUAACUGGAAUUCCCGGUGUAGCGGUGAAAUGCGCAGAUAUCAGGAGGAACACCGGUGGCGAAGGCGGGUCUCUGGGCCGAUACUGACGCUGAGGAGCGAAAGCGUGGGGAGCGAACAGG